Molecule: unclassified non-coding RNA, 878 nt
Filed under: Hevea brasiliensis (rubber tree)
Lineage: Eukaryota; Viridiplantae; Streptophyta; Magnoliopsida; Malpighiales; Euphorbiaceae
Source: RNAcentral
GGAAUAUGUUUAAUAGUUGAAGCUACAUCUUUAGAAAAGAGCUGCUCAAUAAGGGAAGAAUUCCAUUGCAAAUGGUUGUGAUCUAUCAAGUCUACAACUACAUUUAUGUGAGCUGGGCAAUGAGUACAUCUCAUAACAUGAAAAUUAUGGAUGUUUGGUGCCCAAGGAUCAAACCAAAUGAGAGUAUCUUUGCCAUCCCCAAUAUUGUGUCUGAAACCUUCCUUUAAAAAUCUCUACCUGUUAAGAGACUCUGCCAAAUCCAUGACCUUCAUUUUGCUCUUGAAGGAGCUAGCCAGAAUGAAGAAUGGGGAAAAUAGAUGUUUUUUACAAUACGAGCCCAAAGACUGCUAGGGUUAUUAACUAACCUCCAACAUUGUUUAGCCAAGCAAGCUAUGUUAAAAAGCUCAAAGUCACGAAACCAUUACCUCCUUGUGAUUUAGGGAAAAAAGCCAUUUUCCAACUAACCCAAUGCAUCUUCUUCUCCUUAUCUUUCCUUCCCCACCAAAAAUUAGAGACUAAUCCCCACCAAAAGUUAGAGACUAAGCUGUUCAACUACUUGCAAAAGCUCUUUGGGAAUUUAAGGAUGGCCAUAGCAUAUGUGGGAAUAGCACUAAUCACUAAUUUUAUAAGAGUCUCCCUUCUGGCUUGAGAUAACAACUUCUGUUUCCAAGAUUGGGUCUUGGGCGAGAUGCGAUCCUUAAUGAAGCUUAAAGCCUGGUUCUUUGAAAGUCCCCACAGAGAGGGCAGUCCCAAAUGCUUAUCAUCCUCUUUCAAUUCGCUCAUGGAGAACAUGGCUAAAAUAUCUCUCUUUAAUUGCCAAGGUGUCCUCUUGCUGAAGGAGAUACUUGAUUUAUGGAAAUUAAUCUUUUGGCCUAUGC